This 483-nucleotide ribosomal RNA is filed under the name uncultured bacterium. RNAcentral describes it as "partial 16S ribosomal RNA". It matches the Rfam family "Bacterial small subunit ribosomal RNA", at positions 29 to 506 of the family's 1533-position model. The record is from RNAcentral.
AGUGAACGCUGGCGGCAGGCCUAACACAUGCAAGUCGAGCGGCAGCGCGGGGGCAACCCUGGCGGCGAGCGGCGGACGGGUGAGGAAUUCGUCGGAAUCUGCCUUUUUGUGGGGGAUAACGUAGGGAAACUUACGCUAAUACCGCAUACGUCCUACGGGAGAAAGUGGGGGACCGCAAGGCCUCACGCAGAAAGAUGAGCCGACGACCGAUUAGCUAGUUGGUGGGGUAAAGGCCCACCAAGGCGACGAUCGGUAGCUGGUCUGAGAGGAUGAUCAGCCACACUGGGACUGGGACACGGCCCAGACUCCUACGGGAGGCAGCAGUGGGGAAUAUUGGACAAUGGGCGCAAGCCUGAUCCAGCCAUGCCGCGUGUGUGAAGAAGGCCUUCGGGUUGUAAAGCACUUUUGUCCGGAAAGAAAUCCCUGGAGCUAAUACCUUCGGGGGAUGACGGUACCGGAAGAAUAAGCACCGGCUAACUUCGU